Molecule: ribosomal RNA, 158 nt
Filed under: Beauveria bassiana
Lineage: Eukaryota; Fungi; Ascomycota; Sordariomycetes; Hypocreales; Cordycipitaceae
Description: 5.8S ribosomal RNA
Rfam family: 5.8S ribosomal RNA
About the family: 5.8S ribosomal RNA (5.8S rRNA) is a component of the large subunit of the eukaryotic ribosome. It is transcribed by RNA polymerase I as part of the 45S precursor that also contains 18S and 28S rRNA.
Source: RNAcentral
AAACUUUCAACAACGGAUCUCUUGGCUCUGGCAUCGAUGAAGAACGCAGCGAAAUGCGAUAAGUAAUGUGAUUUGCAGAAUCCAGUGAAUCAUCGAAUCUUUGAACGCACAUUGCGCCCGCCAGCAUUCUGGCGGGCAUGCCUGUUCGAGCGUCAUUU